CAGCAGCCGCGGGAAUACGAAGGGUGCAAGCGUUACUCGGAAUUACUGGGCGUAAAGCGUGCGUAGGUGGUGGUUUAAGUCCGUUGUGAAAGCCCUGGGCUCAACCUGGGAAUUGCAGUGGAUACUGGGUCACUAGAGUGUGGUAGAGGAUAGUGGAAUUUCCGGUGUAGCAGUGAAAUGCGUAGAGAUCGGAAGGAACAUCAGUGGCGAAGGCGGCCAUCUGGGACAACACUGACGCUGAGGCACGAAAGCGUGGGGAGCAAACAGGAUUAGAUACCCCCGUAGUCCCUGUCUCUUAUAC
RNAcentral lists this ribosomal RNA (301 nucleotides) under uncultured bacterium. Its description in RNAcentral is "partial 16S ribosomal RNA". It matches the Rfam family "Bacterial small subunit ribosomal RNA", at positions 509 to 807 of the family's 1533-position model. The record is from RNAcentral.